Tachysurus fulvidraco (yellow catfish) is the source of this 4479-nucleotide long non-coding RNA. RefSeq lists it as uncharacterized. Lineage: Eukaryota; Metazoa; Chordata; Actinopteri; Siluriformes; Bagridae. The record is from RefSeq and is a predicted model, not a curated record. The transcript has 3 exons.
AUGGCUGAGAUUACUCAACAGUAUGACAUGCACUACACGUGAGCUUCAUCACAGCCUCCUCUUCCUCACCUCAUACUCACAGAAAGAUCUCAUUAUAGAUUACCAGCCCAUGCAUUCUGAACAGUGACCCACAGCCAGGUACAACAUCAGUGACUUGGACAGGGAGAUUUAGUGCACGUUUUGGUCUGUGGUUCUGGAUCUGGUGUUUAAUCUUAAACCAGAAAUGAGAAGAUCUUCAGGCCUGUGUGCUGAUUUCUGGUGGUGUUCUAGAUAGUGACUGAGCUCCUCCUAUGAUCCUAUCAUAUCCCACAUAAGUGUGAUAAGAAAGUAUCAUAGGUGGAGCUCAAUCACUAAAAAAAAUACAUAUAUACUGUAUAUAUAAUGACAUUAAAUUUAAAAAAUAAAAUGUCACAAUAUUUUACAAUUUUACGAGUAACUCUAACUACCUCAAUAGAAAUUUGCCUGUUAAUUCAAAUGCAGCAACACACUACGGCAAAUAUAAUUGAACAUAAAUUGGCUUAUUGUUAAUCCAUGUCUGUGAUUUAACUUUAUUUUACUUUUUCCACCACAGCCGUAAUUGGUUUACCAUGUGUUAAAAACAACAAACAAUAAAAACUGAUAUUGUGUGACGUUCAACUCUAGUAAAAUUGUGACCCAGUUCUGCUUUUACUGGUCCUGAAUCAGAAGCACUGGGUGAGUAUAAAAAAAUAAGUGUAAGUGUGUGUGUGUGUGUGUGUGUGUGUGUGUGUGUGUGUGUGUGUGUGUGUGUGUGUGUGUGUGUGUGUGUGUGUGUGUGUGUGUGUGUGUGUGUGUGUGUGUGUGUGAAUAAAAGAUGAAAGCAAUCAGCAGUUCACAUUUUCCUGCUUAUUUACAAACACCAGGUAUUUUGUUUACACGUUUAUUUUACUUUUAGGUCAAAACAGAGCAGCAUCUCAGUAAUAAAGACAUUUUUAUUUUACCUUAUUAUUUUUAUAUGCCUCUGUAUGUUUACUCUGAUAUGGGUGCAUGUGAUAUCUGUGUGGAUGGGUGGAGCGUGGAAAGAAACACAAAGAGUCUCUAAUAUUAAACAGGAUAUUAACCAUGAUAUAGUUACAGUGCUGUUAGGAAAGGGACAGAACUACGUUAGGGUCAUAAAUGAUCUAAUCAUCUCGCUCCGAACAAACAGACACACCCAAAGAGAGAACACACGCACGCACGCACACACAUAAACACACACAGCCUAUCAACUGGAAUCUUCAGCCAGAGCAAGACAUCAACAAGCCAAAUCCAAAAAAACAGACAAAACACACACACACACACACACACACACACACACACACACACACACACACACACACACACACACACACACACACACACACACACACACACACACAACCAGGUGCUGAAACUGGAUAAAACAAAAUUCUCAAGACGGCCAACAGCACUCUGGUGGACAAAACGUCUUACAAAAGUCUUAUAAAUUCGCAAAAAUUGUGUGAUUUUCAACAUUUUAAAAAUACAGCAUAUUCUUCUAAACCUAGUGAUGUCACAUUACACGUAUUGACCAAAAAAGCACUUUUCCAAAAAAAACUGACCAAAAAAGUACACAGUCACUUUAGAGGCUGGUCCUGAAGCACAAAAAAUAACACUGGAACUCCUGCAGUUUUUUUUAUCAGCCCUGAACUGGAGUUUAGGAUGCUAUCAUCACUUUUACAAGACCCCUUGAGGAGGCAGGCAACACUGUGAGAAUCGGGUUUUCUGACUUCUCUAGUUCUUACAGCAAAAUACAACCUGCACUGCUAAUCGACAAGCUAAGGACAUGCACGUAGAUGCUCCUCUGGUGGCCUGGAUUAUCAACUACCUCACACUGGGUUGCUGUGAGGCUGCAGAACCACGGGGAUCCCUCAGGGGACAGUCCUGUUCGCCUUUCUGUUCACACUCUACACAUCAGACUUCAGACACUGCACACAGUCCUGCCAUCUGCAGAUGUUUUUCUGAUGACUCUGCUGUCGUAGGUUGUAUUAGGAAAGGUCAGGAGUACAGAAGUGUGGUGGACAUCUUUGUGGAAUGGUGCGGACAAAAUCACCUGAACUCAAUGUCACAAAGACAAUGUCACUGGAUUUUAGAUCCCCCAAACCCAAUCAGCAUCAUGGGCACUGAGGUGGACAUUGGUAUGGACCAAAAACAAUGAUGCACUGAUGUACAAGAAAGGUCAGAGUUGCCUGUACCUCCCGAGGAGACUCAGAUCUUUUAAUAUCUGCAGAACCAUGAAUACAAUAUCAUACAAGAGCACUUCUGGGUCUCUCUGCUCAUAAAGCUGCAGUGUGUAAUGUCUUUUGUUUAUAAUAAUCAUAUAGCUUUACACGGCAUAGUUAUACUAAUCAUGCUGCAUUUCCUGGUAGAGCAAAACACAUUACUACUGCAUGAUCAUCUCAAUUACAUCAUCCGCUAAACUCGAUACACAACCAGACCGUGAUGCAAGAAAAGAAAUGUACGGCUCACACACAUUUUCAAUUUAAGUAAACGCUUUAUUCUGGUCGAGUGUAUCCCAGGAGCUCUGGGUAUGAGAAAGGAAAUACACCCUGAAAUAAGCCUGGAAUAACGUAGCAAAAAUACGCACUGUGCUACUACACAGCCUGAAAACUGCAGCUCAUUGAACAUCUCCUAAAACAUCAGCCAGGGUCUAAGAUUGUGUUGAGGAUGCGAGCAUUUAUAAGCAAGUCGAUUAUUCCGUAUUAACGCAUUUAAUUAGCUUGUUGUACAUUAAAUAUAAUAAAUUCCGUUAGCUCCGUUUUAUUGGGCUUGGAUUUCAGAACAAGCAUAACAAGAAUCAGUAACUGACUCGUAUCUGUCAUCAGUGUCAACAGAAACAAUUUCUGUUUUCCAUUUCAACAGGUACAUUCAUGACAAACAUCCAAUAGCACCAUAUUCACUGAAUGAUGACAACAAUCUAGUAGCAUGAGCAUUCACUGCUAUUGGAUUUUGACUACAGAUUGUCGGCUCCUCAUUAUUAAGAGUCUCCAGCUCUUGAAGGCUAUCCUUCUCCCCCCGCCCCGGCACGCAGAUUCAUAUCUAACCUUCUUUUCAUCAGACUGAGAAGGUGUUUCAGCUCUGCUCUGGACAUCGCUGGUUACUGCGAUCGAUACACUCUACCUGAGAUAAGAAUGCUAAGCAGUUGGGAAAGAGUUGGAGAGAGAGGAGCUGUGAGAUCACUGAUGCCUGAUGACCACCUCAUCAGAAUCCCAACCCUGGUUCAGAGAAGCCCUGGACUCUCUCUUUUUGAAAAGUGAUCAUGAGCUGCUGUUUUUAAUGACCCCAUGACCACUUAAAUCACCUUAAACCACACCAGAGAGCUUAAGGUAUAUAAAAAAUUCUGAACGAGCAAUUUACUGGGUUUAUGAGAAUAUGACACAUAAAUGAACUACUUGAGUGGAAACUAGAGGUUUUCUGUAAGCAAAAGUUUGUUAAGGAGAAACUUGGAGCUUUUUCAAGUAAUUUACCGAAAGAAUCCGAGGAAAAUGUUGAUAUUCUCAGCAAUGAUCUCAUUUCUACUUUCGCUGUGUGUUUACAUUGUCCAAAUUCAGUGCAGGUGUCAAAUGAUACAAAAUAAAGGAAAAAAAAAUACGAGGAAAUCCCUGCACUUAUAUGACCAGGUUAAUGUAGGUUUUAUUAUAUUUUCCAUCACUGAAUUAUUCAUGACCGUCUUUAAACAUUUUAAGGAACUCUUUCUUUGUACUGGGUCAAGCCAAAGCAUGUACAGUACAUGAAGCAGAUAUGAAUUAACUGUACAGACUGAGACGUGAGACAUUUUAUGAGUUUUAAAAUGUCAAAAGCAAACCAGUCUGAUGAGUAUGAUAGAAAACCGGUCUUUUCUGCGUAAAGCAUAAACGCCGAAGCUCUUUCCAGCGAACAGCGUAGUUCAGUUGAAGCUAGCCAUGUUUGUGCGUAUCUGUUUACAGAUAACAAACUGUAUAAAAGCUUUAAACGUUUCAAGCUUAUUUAAUUAAAGUACUUCUGUGCAUUCACAUCCUUAAUGUUUUGCCUUAGUUUAAAUGUUUGAAUAUAAUUUGAAUAAUGACUUCAAAUAUUUGAAUGGUGAUUUUGUCUGAAAUGCCUUUCACACGCUCACAUGCUAAUCUCUAUUAUCCCGCAUGCUAACAUGUUAGAAGAGUGUAACCGAUUUGGAUGAAGGAACCUUUGUGAAAAGCAGAGAAGCACCUUUAUUUUAACACAUGAGUAAUACAAGAAAGACAACAAGUGCUGGGAUUUUCAAAAGCAUGCUGCCCAGAGCACAAAUAAGAAAGUACAAUAAGAAAUAAAUGUAGAACAUGUAACUAGGAAACUUACUCUCUCUAUCUUACCUACUCUCUCUAUUUCUCGCACGUGACACACACACACAAACGCACAGACAUACACACACACGUGCACACACCCACACACACAAACGAACAGACAUACACACACACGCACACACACAAACACACAGACAUACACACA